AUUACUGUCUCACCCUAUAAGCUCUUUGCACCAAAUACCAGUUUCCCUUCCCAUCUGGCUGUUUUCUGUCUGUACAUCGCAAGAGCACA
Molecule: long non-coding RNA, 89 nt
Organism: Corapipo altera (White-ruffed manakin)
Lineage: Eukaryota; Metazoa; Chordata; Aves; Passeriformes; Pipridae
Exons: 3
Source: RefSeq, a predicted model, not a curated record